UACGUAGGGUGCGAGCGUUGUCCGGAUUUAUUGGGCGUAAAGGGCUCGUAGGCGGCCUGUCGCGUCGGGAGUGAAAGCCCACUGCUUAACGGUGGGUCUGCUUCCGGUACGGGCGGGCUGGAGUAUGGCAGGGGAGACUGGAAUUCCUGGUGUAGCGGUGGAAUGCGCAGAUAUCAGGAGGAACACCGGUGGCGGAGGCGGGUCUCUGGGCCAUUACUGACGCUGAGGAGCGAAAGCGUGGGGAGCGAACAGG
Molecule: ribosomal RNA, 253 nt
Filed under: uncultured bacterium
Lineage: Bacteria
Description: partial 16S ribosomal RNA
Rfam family: Bacterial small subunit ribosomal RNA
Source: RNAcentral